ACUCCUACGGGAGGCAGCAGUGGGGAAUAUUGCACAAUGGGCGCAAGCCUGAUGCAGCCAUGCCGCGUGUGUGAAGAAGGCCUUCGGGUUGUAAAGCACUUUCAGUCGUGAGGAAGGUAGUGUAGUUAAUAGCUGCAUUAUUUGUACGUUAGCGACAGAAGAAGCACCGGCUAACUCCGUGCCAGCAGCCGCGGUAAGUACGGAGGGUGCGAGCGUUAAUCGGAAUUACGUGGGCGUAAAGCGCAUGCAGGUGGUUUGUUAAGUCAGAUGUGAAAGCCCGGGGCUCAACCUCGGAAUAGCAUUUGAAACUGGCAGACUAGAGUACUGUAGAGGGGGUAGAAUUUCAGGUGUAGCGGUGAAAUGCGUAGAGAUCUGAAGGAAUACCGGUGGCGAAGGCGGCCCCUGGACAGAUACUGACACUCAGAUGCGAAAGCGUGGGAGCAAACAGGAUUAGAUACCCCUGGUAGACUGUCAU
RNAcentral lists this ribosomal RNA (475 nucleotides) under uncultured bacterium. RNAcentral describes it as "bacterial SSU rRNA". It matches the Rfam family "Bacterial small subunit ribosomal RNA", at positions 335 to 803 of the family's 1533-position model. The record is from RNAcentral.